GACGGACGCUGGCGGCGUGCUUAACACAUGCAAGUCGAACGGAAAGGCCUCUUUCGGGGGGUACUCGAGUGGCGAACGGGUGAGUAACACGUGAGUAACCUGCCCUUGACUUUGGGAUAACUUCAGGAAACUGGGGCUAAUACCGGAUAGGAGCUCCUGCUGCAUGGUGGGGGUUGGAAAGUUUCGGCGGUUGGGGAUGGACUCGCGGCUUAUCAGCUUGUUGGUGGGGUAGUGGCUUACCAAGGCUUUGACGGGUAGCCGGCCUGAGAGGGUGACCGGCCACAUUGGGACUGAGAUACGGCCCAGACUCCUACGGGAGGCAGCAGUGGGGAAUAUUGCACAAUGGGUGGAAGCCUGAUGCAGCAACGCCGUGUGCGGGAUGACGGCCUUCGGGUUGUAAACCGCUUUCGCUCAUGACGAAGCUUUGUGUGACGGUAGUGGGUAAAGAAGCACCGGCUAACUACGUG
This 467-nucleotide ribosomal RNA is filed under the name uncultured bacterium. RNAcentral describes it as "partial 16S ribosomal RNA". It matches the Rfam family "Bacterial small subunit ribosomal RNA", at positions 28 to 507 of the family's 1533-position model. The record is from RNAcentral.